RNAcentral lists this ribosomal RNA (464 nucleotides) under uncultured bacterium. RNAcentral's name for it is "partial 16S ribosomal RNA". It matches the Rfam family "Bacterial small subunit ribosomal RNA", at positions 28 to 506 of the family's 1533-position model. The record is from RNAcentral.
GACGAACGCUGGCGGCGUGCUUAACACAUGCAAGUCGAACGGAAAGGCCCCCUUGUGGGGUACUCGAGUGGCGAACGGGUGAGUAACACGUGAGUAACCUACCCUUGACUUUGGGAUAACUUCAGGAAACUGGGGCUAAUACCGGAUAGGAGCUCCUGCUGCAUGGUGGGGGUUGGAAAGUUUCGGCGGUUGGGGAUGGACUCGCGGCUUAUCAGCUUGUUGGUGGGGUAGUGGCUCACCAAGGCUUUGACGGGUAGCCGGCCUGAGAGGGUGACCGGCCACAUGGGAACAGAGAGCGGCCCAAGACCCCAACGGGAGGCAGGGGGGGGAAAUUUUGCACAAGGGGCGGAGGCCGGAGGCAGCACCGCCGGGGGGGGGAGGACGGCCUUGGGGUUGUAAACCGCUUCCGCCGGUGACGAAGCGUGAGGAGGGGGAAUGGGAAAAAAAGCACGGGCAAACUACGG